Molecule: transfer RNA, 77 nt
Filed under: Clostridium sp. enrichment culture clone 7-14
Lineage: Bacteria; Bacillati; Bacillota; Clostridia; Eubacteriales; Clostridiaceae
Description: tRNA-Ile
Rfam family: tRNA
About the family: Transfer RNA (tRNA) molecules are approximately 80 nucleotides in length. Their secondary structure includes four short double-helical elements and three loops (D, anti-codon, and T loops).
Source: RNAcentral
GGCCCGUAGCUCAGCUGGCUAGAGCGUGCGACUGAUAAUCGCAAGGUCGGUGGUUCGAGCCCACUCGGGCCCACCAA